RNAcentral lists this ribosomal RNA (254 nucleotides) under uncultured bacterium. RNAcentral describes it as "partial 16S ribosomal RNA". It matches the Rfam family "Bacterial small subunit ribosomal RNA", at positions 524 to 776 of the family's 1533-position model. The record is from RNAcentral.
UACAGAGGGGGCAAGCGUUGUUCGGAAUUACUGGGCGUAAAGAGCUCGUAGGCGGUCUGUCGCGUCGGCUGUGAAAACCCGGGGCUCAACCCCGGGCCUGCAGUCGAUACGGGCAGACUAGAGUGUGGUAGGGGAGACUGGAAUUUACGGUGUAGCGGUGAAAUGCGUAGAUAUCGUAAGGAAGACCAGUGGCGAAGGCGGGUCUCGUGGACAGUUCCUGACGCUGAGGCACGAAGGUCAGGGGAGCAAACGGG